UAGGGAAUUUUCGGCAAUGGGGGGAACCCUGACCGAGCAACGCCGCGUGAAGGAAGAAGGAAUUCGUUUCGUAAACUUCUGUUAUAAAGGAAGAAAGGGAUGUAUAGGGAAUGAUACAUCUAAGACGGUACUUUAUGAGGAAGCCACGGCUAACUACGUGCCAGCAGCCGCGGUAAUACGUAGGUGGCAAGCGUUAUCCGGAAUUAUUGGGCGUAAAGAGGGAGCAGGCGGCAAUAGAGGUCUGUGGUAAAAGGCUGAAGCUUAACUUCAGUAAGCCAUGGAAACCAGAUAGCUAGAGGACAGCAGAGGAACGCGGAAUUCCAUGUGUAGCGGUGAAAUGCGCAGAUAUAUGGAGGAACACCAGUGGCGAAGGCGGCGUUCUGGGCUGUAGCUGACGCUCAGUCCCGAAAGCGUGGGGAGCAAAUA
RNAcentral lists this ribosomal RNA (426 nucleotides) under uncultured bacterium. RNAcentral describes it as "bacterial SSU rRNA". It matches the Rfam family "Bacterial small subunit ribosomal RNA", at positions 355 to 774 of the family's 1533-position model. The record is from RNAcentral.